RNAcentral lists this unclassified non-coding RNA (337 nucleotides) under soil metagenome. Its description in RNAcentral is "partial contains 5.8S ribosomal RNA, internal transcribed spacer 2, and large subunit ribosomal RNA". The stretch from base 1 to 120 matches the Rfam family "5.8S ribosomal RNA", at positions 35 to 154 of the family's 154-position model. The record is from RNAcentral.
GAUGAAGAACGCAGCGAAAUGCGAUAACUAAUGUGAAUUGCAGAAUUCAGUGAAUCAUCGAAUCUUUGAACGCACAUUGCGCCCCUUGGUAUUCCAUGGGGCAUGCCUGUUCGAGCGUCAUUUGUACCUUCAAGCUCUGCUUGGUGUUGGGUGUUUGUCUCGCCUCUGCGUGUAGACUCGCCUUAAAACAAUUGGCAGCCGGCGUAUUGAUUUCGGAGCGCAGUACAUCUCGCGCUUUGAACUCAUAACGACGACGUCCAAAAGUACAUUUUUACACUCUUGACCUCGGAUCAGGUAGGGAUACCCGCUGAACUUAAGCAUAUCAAUAAGCGGAGGA